This is a long non-coding RNA of Culex pipiens pallens (northern house mosquito), 912 nucleotides long. RefSeq lists it as uncharacterized. The record is from RefSeq and is a predicted model, not a curated record. Lineage: Eukaryota; Metazoa; Arthropoda; Insecta; Diptera; Culicidae. The transcript is spliced from 2 exons.
UCAGAAAAGUUAUUGUUUUAUUAUUUCAAUGCUGAAAAAAUGAUUAAAACAAUAACAAAUUGUGUUAUAAAUGCUUUUGGAGAUAGUUGCAUAGAGGAAGGAUCUAUACAAAUAUACAACAAUGUGUGUAACAAAUAUCUAAAGUGUCUCAAGCUCUGGUUGAUGUGCAUCCUUAACCAAUUUGUAUAAUUUGUAUAAGCAGUUCAAUUUGUCAGUGCUAUUUAACAAACUUGAGUCAUUAUUAAAUUUGGCUAACAUUUAUAAACAUGAUUAAGACGGUUAUUUCAAUAUCAGGUAUCAUUUCCAAGUAUGAUUCACUAUCAAUUAUCGGAUGUUGUCUGGUGAGAACGACUGUGACUUCGGGAUUCAUUAAUUAGCACAUCGCAGAAUCGAAUCGUCUGGAACUUCGAACCCGAUAUAAGCAAGCAGUAUUUAUCCUGAGCAUUCAAACGCAUUCUAGUAAGGAGAUAAUCAACACUGUGAUUGACUGAGUUUAAUUUUUACAACAUGAUACGAGUUAUCUUUAUUAUUGCACUGUGCUUAGCAGUAUCAUCAGUGCCAGUCCCAUCUUACGAUUCUGCAAGUUACAACCUGUUUAGUUCAGAUUUCAGUGAUUACCGAAUAGUACCGAGAAAGUAUUACUACGUGCUGCCAAGUCAAAAAUCAUACGAUAACAGGGAUCAGUAUUUCAAACAAUUCAGCACUUCAACAGCAGCACCAGUUUCGACCACAACGACUACAACAUCAACCACAAAAACAAAGAAACCCAAAAAGUUCUGGCCGUGCCCGCCGAGCAUUAUAGGGUGAACCUAAAAGUUGUGAUUUAAAAAGAUUUUCGAUUGAUUGUGAUAUUUUGUAAAACUAUUGAGGACUGAAAACAUAACCUUUAAUAUUCUAAUAAACUAUAUUUUU